CCUACGGGGCGCAGCAGUGAGGAAUAUUGGUCAAUGGGAGAGAUCCUGAACCAGCCAAGCCGCGUGAGGGAAGACGGCCCUAUGGGUUGUAAACCUCUUUUGUCGGAGAACAAAACCCGGGACGUGUCCCGGACUGCGUGUAUCCGAAGAAAAAGCAUCGGCUAACUCCGUGCCAGCAGCCGCGGUAAUACGGAGGAUGCGAGCGUUAUCCGGAUUUAUUGGGUUUAAAGGGUGCGUAGGCGGGACGGUAAGUCAGCGGUAAAAAUGCGGAGCUCAACUCCGUCAAGCCGUUGAAACUGUCGUUU
This 305-nucleotide ribosomal RNA is filed under the name uncultured bacterium. RNAcentral describes it as "bacterial SSU rRNA". It matches the Rfam family "Bacterial small subunit ribosomal RNA", at positions 338 to 641 of the family's 1533-position model. The record is from RNAcentral.